RNAcentral lists this ribosomal RNA (468 nucleotides) under uncultured bacterium. RNAcentral's name for it is "partial 16S ribosomal RNA". It matches the Rfam family "Bacterial small subunit ribosomal RNA", at positions 28 to 507 of the family's 1533-position model. The record is from RNAcentral.
GACGAACGCUGGCGGCGUGCUUAACACAUGCAAGUCGAACGGAAAGGCCCUGCUUUUGUGGGGUGCUCGAGUGGCGAACGGGUGAGUAACACGUGAGUAACCUGCCCUUGACUUUGGGAUAACUUCAGGAAACUGGGGCUAAUACCGGAUAGGAGCUCCUGCUGCAUGGUGGGGGUUGGAAAGUUUCGGCGGUUGGGGCUGGACUCGCGGCUUAUCAGCUUGUUGGUGGGGUAGUGGCUUACCAAGGCUUUGACGGGUAGCCGGCCUGAGAGGGUGACCGGCCACAUUGGGACUGAGAUACGGCCCAGACUCCUACGGGAGGCAGCAGUGGGAAAUAUUGCACAAUGGGCGGAAGCCUGAUGCAGCAACGCCGCGUGCGGAAUGACGGCCUUCGGGUUGUAAACCGCUUUCGCCUGUGACGAAGCGUGAGUGACGGUAAUGGGUAAAGAAGCACCGGCUAACUACGUG